UAAUUCCGGAUAACGCACAUAUGCUGGAAUGCUUUAUGCGUAAAAUGGAUUCGUCUGCCCAAGGAUGGAUCUGCGGCCUAUCAGGUAGUAGUGGGUGUAAUGUACCUACUAGCCAACAACGGGUACGGGUUGUGAGAGCAAGAGCCCGGAGAUGGAUUCUGAGACAUGAAUCCAGGCCCUACGGGGCGCAGCAGGCGCGAAAACUUUACAAUGCGGGAAACCGUGAUAAGGGGACACCGAGUGCCAGCAUCAUAUGCUGGCUGUCCGGGUGUGUAAAAUACACCCGUUAGCAAGGGCCGGGCAAGACCGGUGCCAGCCGCCGCGGUAACACCGGCGGCCCGAGUGGUGAUCGUGAUUAUUGGGUCUAAAGGGUCCGUAGCCGGUUUGGUCAGUCCUCCGGGAAAUCUGACGGCUCAACCGUUAGGCUUUCGGGGGAUACUGCCAGGCUUGGAACCGGGAGAGGUAAGAGGUACUACAGGGGUAGGAGUGAAAUCUUGUAAUCCCUGUGAGACCACCUGUGGCGAAGGCGUCUUACCAGAACGGGUUCGACGGUGAGGGACGAAAGCUGGGGGCACGAACCGGAUUAGAUACCCGGGUAGUCCCAGCCGUAAACGAUGCUCGCUAGGUGUCAGGCAUGGCGCGACCGUGUCUGGUGCCGCAGGGAAGCCGUGAAGCGAGCCACCUGGAAUACGGCCGCAAGGCUGAA
This 706-nucleotide ribosomal RNA is filed under the name uncultured archaeon. Its description in RNAcentral is "bacterial SSU rRNA". It matches the Rfam family "Archaeal small subunit ribosomal RNA", at positions 147 to 853 of the family's 1478-position model. The record is from RNAcentral.